UAAAUUAUAGGUCUUAUGACAAAUAACCUCAUUCUGCAAUGCUACAUUUAUAAAUUGUGUUUAUUGUUUACUAACGUUCUUGUAUAAAUUUUGUUAGCUCGUUAAUCGCAGUAAAUGAUAUAAAACAUUAUUUUUUAUUUAAGUGCAAAAUGACUUCAAUAGCUCCAUCAGAUUCUGAAUCCAAUGUAAGCGGAUUUGUGCGCUACAGUGACAAGAAUUUCAAGCAUCUUUAUACAUCUUUGAUUGAGAAUAUGGAGAUAAUUAAUCAAGAUUUGUUACAAGUGGAGAAGAACUUGAAAGAUAUUGUCAAACAAGCUGGCCCCUUGGAGAGUCAACUUUCAGUUAUGUUGCAAUCUCUGCCUAAGCCUAAUAUAAACAUGUCGAUGGAAACCAACUAAACCUACGCCACAAGACAAAUUAAACCAAACACUUACCGGCAGAAAUGUACAAAACCGAACUAGACUGUAUUAUUUGAAUAAGCUUCAUAAUUUUCUGUUUCAUGUUGUAAGAACCAAUUUUCGCAUUAUUAAUAUAUAAUCUCUUCUGGUAUAUAAUAGUUUUGUUGCUUUAAUAUUACCUUGUGUUGUAGCUAAUUUUUACACUUGUGCAUAUAAGCUUUGUUAACAAGUUUUAUCAGUAUUGAAUCAACAUCCCAUAAUUUUAUGAAAUGUUUAUCAUAUGCAUUAAAUUACUUAAAAUGUCUAUCAUAUAAUAUGUAAAGAAAUGUUAUUAUGCGUACAUUUAUUACAAUAAUUGGGCCAAUCUAUUUAAAUAUUCUAAUUCAAGCUAUAUUCCGUGUUGCACAUUGUUGACUUUUGUAAAACUAUAAUGCCAUUUUAGAAUGAAAGUAAAUAGCAGUGGUUCUAGAAAUUAAAUAACUAAUGUAAGAUGCAAAUCUCUAAAAUAUACAGGCCAUACUACUUCUAUAUUAAUAAUCCACAACUCUCAGGUUAUACAAAAAAACCUACAUUAAAAAAUAUUAUGUAAUGAUAACUAAUAUAAAACAUAGUUAUACUUGAUGUACUCAACAUUUAAAUGGUUUGUUCAACUUAUAUGUUUACAUUCAUGUAUUUGUUUAUGAACGAAGACUGUUAGUAAACUUGAUGUUAUAAACUUGUUAUAUUUAAUAAAUAUUUAUCACUUUG
Molecule: long non-coding RNA, 1145 nt
Organism: Manduca sexta (tobacco hornworm)
Lineage: Eukaryota; Metazoa; Arthropoda; Insecta; Lepidoptera; Sphingidae
Exons: 2
Source: RefSeq, a predicted model, not a curated record